This is a long non-coding RNA of Corvus hawaiiensis (hawaiian crow), 806 nucleotides long. RefSeq lists it as uncharacterized. The transcript is spliced from 3 exons. The record is from RefSeq and is a predicted model, not a curated record. NCBI's taxonomy places the organism in Eukaryota, Metazoa, Chordata, Aves, Passeriformes, Corvidae.
CGCUGGAGCAGCAGCGGGAGCUGCGGGAGCGCCGGGAGCGCUGCGAGGCGCGGCACAGGGACCUGGAGAACACCCUCCGGGACUACGCGGCCGAGGUGGAGGCGCUGCGGCGGCGGGGGAGGGACAGAGCCACCGGGCGCAGGUGUCCCCUGUCCCGGAAAGGCUGAGGCCCCGCAGCCCCCCCGGUCCCGCCCCGCUGAGCGCGACGUUCCCGGUGUCCCCGCCGUGUCCCCGCGGUGUCCCCAACACCGGGACCAGCGGGGGCUCAUUCCCGGCCCCGGAGCCGCCAGCGCAGUCCGGGGGAGCGAUGGGGGUGGGAGACGUGUCCUGAGCCCAUCCUGUGUGCCCUAAUCCCACUGAGAUUCCUGAUUUGAUCCCGUGUCCCCAUCCCACCGUGGCUCCUGAUCCCAUCCCAUGUCCCGAUCCCGCGGUGUCCCGAUCCCAAUCCUGCGCACUGAUCCCGCGGUGUCCCGAUCCCACUGCACGUCCUAAUCCCGCUGUGUCCCAAUCCCGAUCCCGAUCCCACCGCGUGUCCCGAUCCCACAUCCCCCAAUCCCUUUGCGAUGCCGCCGCGUGUCCCACUCCCGCGGUGUUCCCAUCCCACUCCGCAGCCGGACACGGGACUGAGGGGUCCCUUUCCCAGUUUUGGGGCAGUUUCGGCUCAUCCCGGGCACCGUUUUCCCACCGGAGCUCUGGGAUGCGCUCCGGGAGUUACCGCCACAUCCGCAGCGCUCCGGAAACCGGGAACACCGGGAAUUUAGGGAAGAUUGGGUAAUAAAGGCUGCUCUGCUCUCGGGGACAUCUCC